Long non-coding RNA from Stylophora pistillata, 751 nucleotides. The record is from RefSeq and is a predicted model, not a curated record. Lineage: Eukaryota; Metazoa; Cnidaria; Anthozoa; Scleractinia; Pocilloporidae.
GGCAAACAAACUUAGGUUAAGCCAGCAUAGAAUAAUAAUACCGAUAUGUAAUCUCCUUUCAGCCCUGUUUCAACAGUGGCAGAAAGGAACUUUUAUCAUCAAGUUAAUUCUGAAGUACCUCUCAGUGGGAUUCUAACCUCAGAAAGAGCAUACUGUGGCAAAAUCAAGAAAGUCCAGUGGCACUAAAGGUUUUGGCGGGUUGGUGCGAUGUGAAAGAGCUGUUUUUCCUGUGGACUUGCUACCAGCAGCCUCACUGGGUGUCGACUUUGAUGCAGUAAAAGAAACCAGUUCACCAUAACACCAAAACCAUCCCUAUUCCAGCCUUUUCAAUUGUUUUUAAGCAGUGGGGGUUGCAAAAGUUGAUUCACCAGUUCCACGCAAAAAAACCACUUGUUUACUCACAGACAUGACUGCACAGGUCUCGGGCACGACAUUGGUUAACAGCCAGAAGUUGACUUAACGUCAAGACAUCUGACUGUACCAGAGAAAGUGACAUUGAGCUUGUGAACGAACAUCACUGCGAGUGGUAAACCGUGUGACCAGUAGAGAACAGCGCAACUACCCAAACACCCUUCAAACAAUGACACACAAAUGGAAGAUUUUCUAAUUUUAUGAAGAAUCACAACCCAUCGAGCAAGCCGAGAACAGCAUUCGCUGGAAUUCCUUCGGCCCACAAAAUCUGAGAGAAUAAACUUUCGAUAUCACGAACGAAAUACAAACAGCGAUAGCAUAUGAGAUUUAGCGUCAAUUU